GUAACGUAGAUCUUUAUUCAUCUUUCAAACAUGGCAGCAAGCAUCAAGUGUGUGUAUUUUCUCAUUGCAAUUCUAUGCAUCGUUUCUGUUUUGACUCCAGGAGAAGCAUAUUAUUAUACAUACUGCGCUGAAAAAGGGCCAUGUCCAAAUAACGAUAAAGUUUGUAGUUAUAUUUGUAUAAAUAAAUACGAGUUUCCUAGGGGUGGCUUUUGUAGUAAAAGUAAGGGUUUGUGUUGUUGUAGGGGAGGAUAUUGAUUCUACUUUCUCAAAGUGUUGGCACAUAUAUAUGAUUAUCAUAUGUUUAAAUAAAUUUUUAGUGCAUGUUUGGUUUCAUAUUUGCACUCUACAAA
Long non-coding RNA from Trifolium pratense (red clover), 350 nucleotides. RefSeq lists it as uncharacterized. Lineage: Eukaryota; Viridiplantae; Streptophyta; Magnoliopsida; Fabales; Fabaceae. The record is from RefSeq and is a predicted model, not a curated record. The transcript is spliced from 2 exons.